UUAGAUUGGACAAGAUGGAAGAAGGUGGAAAAUAACACAAUAUAAGGGGGCAAAAUCCCAGCCAAACAUACUGACUCGAAAGAGCACAUAAAGAUGAUAAAGUUUGGGGACAGCAUGCUGGGGUCAUUCCGAAGUGAUAAAAGACAUCGAUGAAAAAAGUGGUGAAGGGGAAUGUCAGCCUAAAGUCGCAUUGCUUAAUGAAGAAAACUAAGUUACGACCUUGCUGGGGUCUAUCAAACCCGUCGUAGGUGGGUUGGAGAG
Molecule: long non-coding RNA, 261 nt
Filed under: Manihot esculenta (cassava)
Lineage: Eukaryota; Viridiplantae; Streptophyta; Magnoliopsida; Malpighiales; Euphorbiaceae
Description: long non-coding RNA (MESC_LNC001934)
Source: RNAcentral